This 875-nucleotide ribosomal RNA is filed under the name uncultured euryarchaeote. RNAcentral's name for it is "bacterial SSU rRNA". It matches the Rfam family "Archaeal small subunit ribosomal RNA", at positions 21 to 903 of the family's 1478-position model. The record is from RNAcentral. Lineage: Archaea; Methanobacteriati; Methanobacteriota.
GGUCACCGCUCUUGGAAUCCGAUUAAGCCAUGUGAGUCGAGAGGGUUCGGCCCUCGGCAGACUGCUCAGUAACACGUGGAUAACCUACCCUAAGGAGGGGCAUAAUCUCGGAAAACUGAGGAUAAUACCCCAUAGGCCUUAAUGACUGGAAUGUCUCUAGGCUGAAAGCUACGGCGCCUUAGGAUGGGUCUGCGGCCUAUCAGGUUGUAGUUAGUGUAACGGACUAACUAGCCGACGACGGGUACGGGCCAUGGGAGUGGUAGCCCGGAGAUGGACUCUGAGACACGAGUCCAGGCCCUACGGGGCGCAGCAGGCGCGAAAACUUUGCAAUGCGCGAAAGUGCGACAAGGGGAUUCCAAGUGCAUGCACUCAGUGUAUGCUUUUCGUGAGUUUAAAACGCUCACGGAAUAAGGGCUGGGUAAGACUGGUGCCAGCCGCCGCGGUAAUACCAGCGGCCCUAGUGGUGAUCGUUAUUAUUGGGCCUAAAGCGUCCGUAGCCGGUUCGGUAAAUCUCUGGGUAAAUCGUUGGGCUUAACUCAACGAAUUCUGGGGAGACUGCCGGACUUGGGACCGGGAGAGGUCGGAGGUACUCCAGGGGUAGGGGUGAAAUCCUGUAAUCCUUGGGGGACCACCGGUGGCGAAAGCGUCCGACCAGAACGGGUCCGACGGUAAGGGACGAAGCCCUGGGGCGCGAACCGGAUUAGAUACCCGGGUAGUCCAGGGUGUAAACGCUGUGCGCUUGGUGUUGGGGGUCCCAUGAGGGCAUCCAGUGCCGGAGAGAAGUUGUUAAGCGCACCGCCUGGGGAGUACGGUCGCAAGACUGAAACUUAAAGGAAUUGGCGGGGGAGCACAGCAACGGGAGGAGCGUGCGGUUU